GCCCAGACUCCUACGGGAGGCAGCAGUGGGGAAUAUUGCACAAUGGGGGAAACCCUGAUGCAGCGACGCCGCGUGAGUGAAGAAGUAUUUCGGUAUGUAAAGCUCUAUCAGCAGGGAAGAAAAUGACGGUACCUGACUAAGAAGCCCCGGCUAACUACGUGCCAGCAGCCGCGGUAAUACGUAGGGGGCAAGCGUUAUCCGGAUUCACUGGGUGUAAAGGGAGCGUAGACGGCGACGCAAGUCUGGAGUGAAAGCCCGGGGCCCAACCCCGGGACUGCUCUGGAAACUGCGGCGCUGGAGUACGGGAGGGGCAGGCGGAAUUCCUGGUGUAGCGGUGAAAUGCGUAGAUAUUAGGAGGAACACCAGUGGCGAAGGCGGCCUGCUGGACGACAACUGACGGUGAGGCGCGAAAGCGUGGGGAGCAAACAGGAUUAGAUACCCUAGUAA
RNAcentral lists this ribosomal RNA (447 nucleotides) under uncultured bacterium. RNAcentral's name for it is "bacterial SSU rRNA". It matches the Rfam family "Bacterial small subunit ribosomal RNA", at positions 329 to 793 of the family's 1533-position model. The record is from RNAcentral.